This 465-nucleotide ribosomal RNA is filed under the name uncultured bacterium. RNAcentral's name for it is "partial 16S ribosomal RNA". It matches the Rfam family "Bacterial small subunit ribosomal RNA", at positions 28 to 507 of the family's 1533-position model. The record is from RNAcentral.
GACGAACGCUGGCGGCGUGCUUAACACAUGCAAGUCGAACGGAAAGGCCCUGCUUGCAGGGUACUCGAGUGGCGAACGGGUGAGUAACACGUGGGUGAUCUGCCCUGCACUUCGGGAUAAGCCUGGGAAACUGGGUCUAAUACCGGAUAGGAGCCAUUUUUAGUGUGAUGGUUGGAAAGUUUUUUCGGUGUAGGAUGAGCUCGCGGCCUAUCAGCUUGUUGGUGGGGUAAUGGCCUACCAAGGCGGCGACGGGUAGCCGGCCUGAGAGGGUGGACGGCCACAGUUGGACUGAGAUACGGCCCAGACUCCUACGGGAGGCAGCAGUGGGAAAUAUUGCACAAUGGGCGCAAGCCUGAUGCAGCGACGCCGCGUGGGGGAUGACGGCCUUCGGGUUGUAAACUCCUUUCGCUAGGGACGAAGCUUUUUGUGACGGUACCUAGAUAAGAAGCACCGGCUAACUACGUG